Molecule: long non-coding RNA, 572 nt
Filed under: Rhipicephalus microplus (southern cattle tick)
Lineage: Eukaryota; Metazoa; Arthropoda; Arachnida; Ixodida; Ixodidae
Description: uncharacterized LOC119180009, transcript variant X3
Source: RNAcentral
CAAGACGGCUUCAGCUAUAUGUAUUGAACGCAACUUUCGGCAUUCAUUUUGCAUCGAUGAUAGCCUCAAAAUAGAAAGCGCUGUGUGGCUUUCAUUUCUUUACCCUUAAAUUCACACAAAUCCCCAGGAUGACCUCACUUUCGUAUCGGACAACGUUCUUUGUUAUUAUUGUUUCAGCAGCGCAUGGACAUGGGAGCGAAGGCCACCUCGUAGCCGAGAAUGGACAAAGUGGGCUAAGUGCGAAAGCCACAUGCCGCUCAUUACAAUUGUAUACGCAUGCAGGACCGAAGCAAGUUACCUGCAAGGUCGACUGCAAACAUGAAGGCCCAGGAGCAACAAUAAUGCAUAAUUCUAAGAAAGGAGAUGAAUGCCUAACGGUUUCUCCUGCAGGUUUCGAUCAUAUGAAAUGUGAAGUCAAUUACACGUGUAAAUUAGGCUUAUGUGACCAUGCACUUGAUUGUCAGCCCUCCAAUUUGCUUAUCGGAUGCUGGAAACCUAUACCUACCAAUCAGUAUUCUCAUGUUAUAUCAUACAAGUGUCCUCAAUAAACUAAUGCAUUGCAUAUUUCCAUA